UUUGUCCAGGGGGCCGCCUUCGCCACCGGUAUUCCUCCAGAUCUCUACGCAUUUCACCGCUACACCUGGAAUUCUACCCCCCUCUACAAGACUCUAGCCUGCCAGUUUCGAAUGCAGUUCCCAGGUUGAGCCCGGGGAUUUCACAUCCGACUUGACAGACCGCCUGCGUGCGCUUUACGCCCAGUAAUUCCGAUUAACGCUUGCACCCUCCGUAUUACCGCGGCUGCUGGCACGGAGUUAGCCGGUGCUUCUUCUGCGGGUAACGUCAAUCGAUGAGGUUAUUAACCUCACCGCCUUCCUCCCCGCUGAAAGUACUUUACAACCCGAAGGCCUUCUUCAUACACGCGGCAUGGCUGCAUCAGGCUUGCGCCCAUUGUGCAAUAUUCCCCACUGCUGCCUCCCGUAGGAGUCUGGACCGUGUCUCAGUUCCAGUGUGGCUGGUCAUCCUCUCAGACCAGCUAGGGAUCGUCGCCUAGGUGAGCCGUUACCCCACCUACUAGCUAAUCCCAUCUGGGCACAUCUGAUGGCAAGAGGCCCGAAGGUCCCCCUCUUUGGUCUUGCGACGUUAUGCGGUAUUAGCUACCGUUUCCAGUAGUUAUCCCCCUCCAUCAGGCAGUUUCCCAGACAUUACUCACCCGUCCGCCGCUCGCCGGCAAAGUAGCAAGCUACUGUCCGCUGCCGCUCGACUU
Molecule: ribosomal RNA, 689 nt
Filed under: Enterobacter sp.
Lineage: Bacteria; Pseudomonadati; Pseudomonadota; Gammaproteobacteria; Enterobacterales; Enterobacteriaceae
Description: partial 16S rRNA
Source: RNAcentral